Long non-coding RNA from Daktulosphaira vitifoliae (grape phylloxera), 408 nucleotides. RefSeq lists it as uncharacterized. Lineage: Eukaryota; Metazoa; Arthropoda; Insecta; Hemiptera; Phylloxeridae. The record is from RefSeq and is a predicted model, not a curated record. The transcript has 3 exons.
AAUUAUAAAUAACGAUUCAAUUAGGUACACAAAAAGCUCAAGAAAAUCAUUGACAGCAUAAAAACGUUCAACUCAUUUAGUCGCACAUAAUUGUUUUAAUGAUUUUUUAGUUAUACAUUUUUGACUUUCUUCGAUUUGACUUUUCAACACAUCUUUUCGCUUUGGAAGAUGAAUAAGAAAUAGCAAGGUUUAAAACAUGAACAGCACAAUGAACAAACGUCGCAAGCGGAUAACUUUGGUGAAUAAGAGAUUGAGCUCCGUUAAAUUGACCAGACAUAGAAGCACAUCCAUCGUAACACUGUCCUCUAAGUAGUGUCUGUUGUAGGCACAAACUGAAAAAUUCUUCCUUGAUAAUCAUAUUUUCAACAUCUAAAUAUUGAACACACAAAGUUAUUUAUUCGCUUCCAC